AUGAACGCUGGCGGCGUGCCUCAUCCAUGCAAGUCGAGCGAACAGACGAGGAGCUUGCUCCUCUGACGUUAGCGGCGGACGGGUGAGUAACACGUGGAUAACCUUCCUAUAAGACUGGGAUAACUUCGGGAAACCGGAGCUAAUACCGGAUAAUAUAUUGAACCGCAUGGUUCAAUAGUGAAAGACGGUUUUGCUGUCACUUAUAGAUGGAUCCGCGCCGCAUUAGCUAGUUGGUAAGGUAACGGCUUACCAAGGCGACGAUGCGUAGCCGACCUGAGAGGGUGAUCGGCCACACUGGAACUGAGACACGGUCCAGACUCCUACGGGAGGCAGCAGUAGGGAAUCUUCCGCAAUGGGCGAAAGCCUGACGGAGCAACGCCGCGUGAGUGAUGAAGGUCUUCGGAUCGUAAAACUCUGUUAUUAGGGAAGAACAAAUGUGUAAGUAACUAUGCACGUCUUGACGGUACCUAAGCAGAAAGCCACGGCUACUACGUG
RNAcentral lists this ribosomal RNA (495 nucleotides) under uncultured bacterium. RNAcentral's name for it is "partial 16S ribosomal RNA". It matches the Rfam family "Bacterial small subunit ribosomal RNA", at positions 29 to 507 of the family's 1533-position model. The record is from RNAcentral.